UCGGAUGACCAUAAACACAAGAGAAGAACCAAUCAUUAUUAUUUGGGAAAUCAGAAAUUUUACAUGUAAUCACAUGGCGAGAUGAAGCUAUGAUCUACAGAUUAAUUCCCUCUUUCCAAAGUAAAGCCAAACCACCACUUCUUCCAUUAGCAGCAACAAAAUGACACCCACUAUACUUUAUUUUUUUUUCUAACUGUUUCCAUUCAACUAACCUUCACUUUUGUCUCAGAAAUAAAGAUCACCUCCGGGUCACCUACCCGGAUGAGGUCCUUUAGAUUUUGGACUGCAGAGGAGGAACCCAUUCCCCUGCAAUUCCAAGAUAGUAUCAUAAAAGAGGAAGCUGCU
RNAcentral lists this long non-coding RNA (345 nucleotides) under Aquilegia coerulea. Its description in RNAcentral is "long non-coding RNA (ACOE_LNC000734)". Lineage: Eukaryota; Viridiplantae; Streptophyta; Magnoliopsida; Ranunculales; Ranunculaceae. The record is from RNAcentral.